This is a long non-coding RNA of Triplophysa rosa, 7543 nucleotides long. RefSeq lists it as uncharacterized. The transcript is spliced from 3 exons. Lineage: Eukaryota; Metazoa; Chordata; Actinopteri; Cypriniformes; Nemacheilidae. The record is from RefSeq and is a predicted model, not a curated record.
GGGGCUUUAAACAAAUCUUACAUCUCUCCUGUUUCAGUCGUCUAAAACUCCGCAAUCAGGCACACGGUCGACUCCAUCUAAAACCAAAGCUUUUUAAGAAGAUUUUUUCGGCUUUUGAGAGGAAAUGUGCUGUUACAUUUGGAGAAUUCAGGCGUCAGACCAAACCGCUUCUCUGUGUGCUCGGUUUGACAGACAUGCGUAAUGGGCACCCGCGCUUCCAAAGCUGAGAAUUUACAGACACAUCCUGCGCUUUCAGGUACCUCUUUCUCUCUUUUUUGGUUAAUGAACUCAGGCGAUUCCGCAAGCAUCCCGAGGGACCGGAGAGGGAAUGUUUUCCUUUCGGUAAAAGGUGUGGGCAAUCUCUCCCCAACUCUCGACUUAUCUUUGGGCUAAUUAGGCGGGGCCCUGAAGACGAAGGCAUGAAUAUUCAUGUAAAAGCACCGGCGCGCAAUUAGCCACGGAAAGAGUUCCUAACUUCAAUCGCUGGCCAGUGCGAAGAGACAGGGAUAUUCUUCUGCGCAGCAAGACAGCCGAGGUGUCGCACUAAGUCGUGUUUAAAGUGUGUAAGAAAUAUAAAAAGACCAACCUGACAUUUUUGCUAAUUCUAUUCGCAGAUGGUACUUUUUUAAUGGAUGGCAACCUUAUUUAUAAUUUAAAGACUACCCAGUACCCACAGUCAGUUUUUCCAUUUGAUGAACAGCAUUUCUGAGAAUUUUGGAUAGCCAGGGUCAGAAGUAUUCCAUAGAAGGUUCGGAGAAACCUGUCGUCGAAAGUUUUAAAUUGAAAGCAUGCAGGACUCUUUGACACUACAUUUAAAUGCUUUAAUUUAUAUGACUUUCAGAUGUUUUGAGAUGAUGGAUCCCCAUCAUCCAUUAAGUGUUGGUCAUCGCCUUCUAAUUCUUAUGCUCACUUAGCUUGUGGAUUCAUGUUUCCAAAAUCAAUAAUACUAUUUAAGUUUUUCUGUGGGUCUCUGCAAUCUCCCUUUCUUUUAUCUCUUUCUCUCUUUCUUUGUCUUUUGCUCUCUUUUACACACAUACACAAAGUUAGGGGCCUUAACCUGUGUUGCUGUCCAUACUGUGCUUUAAGGCCUCAAUCCUUGCUUUGAAUUGAUGGCGAUCUAUAUCUUGUCCCCUUCCGGGUGUGCGCUUGCCACUUGCUUCCAUAAAGAUGCAUUUAUGUAUGUAUGUAUGGAGGUGAACAGGGAGCUUUUUGCAGGGGGGCUUGUGAGAUAAGCAGUGGAAUUUGUGCCGUUUGAAUAUGGAUGGCAGCCAGACCGUUGGUAAGCAGCUGAUAGAGUGGUAAACAGCUUGUGGGCUGAAGGGGUUAGAAGCAUGCUCCUGAAUACAUUGGGCCUCUCUUCCACUGUCUGCAUGCACAAUGGUCAAUCAAAUCAACGUCACUUUCCCCCAAUCCCUGUGAUGCUGUGGGUCUGUAAUGUUGGACAAGCUGUCACUACAGUACACCCAUCCACUCACUUAUCAACUUCUGAAAUUAAUGGUCAGACUUGCUAGAUGAUUGCAAGGGCAAAUAUGUUCAGUCCAGCUUUUAUUUGAUAAUAAAUUAUAUAACCCUCUGCCUUCUGUAUACAUCAUAGACCGUUGCAUGUUUUGUUGUACAAAUUCUCAGCAAUUAAAUUGUUUUUGAUAUUCUGAUACAAUUUCUUUGUUUUAUUUAAAUGAUAUUUAUAACAGUUUAGCAUAACUUUCACUAAUAGUCAUUUAAAAAAACAAUGCUUAACACAGAUAGUUUACUACUGCAUACAGGCAGACAUAAAUAAUGGAAACAUAUGAUUCUUAAUUUCAUGACAUUUUUACCUGUUAGAAUACAUUAUCUAACAACUAUUACUACUACGUUCGAAAAUGUUUGAUGACCUAUUAACGAUAGUUUUUGUAAUAUUUAUAUUCUCGCCUUGAUGUUGAUUGAGCAUGAUCUUUCCUGACAGAACUAAUUGAGUUGAAAGUUUAUAAUAGAAAAUGUAGUCCAAACUAUAUAUAAGAGAUCCACAUGAUCAUACAAGUUUAAGAAAAUGUAAAGGCUUUAAGAUGUUUGUCCACAUCAGUAAAAUUUGACUUAAGUUUAUCUGAAGUUUACUUUCUAUGCAGCCAGAAUAUAAAGUAAGCAUGUUAUUAUUUUAGGAAUAACCAUGAUUAAAUCGGGACAUAUUUUUAUUGUGCGCUGUAGCAAUAAUGAAAUCACACAAAAUGUAUUCAGAAUAACCAUUUCCUUUACUUUCUGCUGGUAUCCAUACUUUUUAAAACCACAAAAUAUAUUUGAAUAGUUUGUUCUUCGACUUUUAAAAAAACUGAGUAUAGUGACUGUGAGUUGAAUAAGUGUUGAUAAAUUUGUUUUUCCUAUUCACACCUGUUUGCUUCUGUGUUCCAGCAUAAAUAGGUGUAUCAUUCCACAACAAUUUCUUUUCUUUCUUUCAUCAAACGUACCCAAGUAACAGUGAAACUGCUAGGAAUCAUAUGUAAAACAUUGAAUCAUUAUUCAGCCUAAAUAUUUAAUGAUUGAUUUGAUGAACCUUUGUGGAUUUCUUCAUGUAAACUGACUGCUGCGCUCGAGUAUUCUAAGAGCCGUGGUUCUUCCCCAGUGGCAUCCAGAAUGAGGCUGAUCCAGCAUAAAGCUGCAGAGUUCCACAUGUCACUGCUCACUCAAGAGAGCAUCCAGAGGCCCUGCUGAAGUUAUUAAUGAGUUGCUUCCUUUUAAUUAGAUAGUAAUUCAUGUUAAUGCAUGCCUAAUGAACCCAAAUCGUUCCCUUUGGUCAUUCUGCGGAGUUCCACUGUGUUUACUUAUUCUGUCUGUUUUCCCGCUUUUGUGUUUUAUUAGGCUCGGAGGGGCCUAAAAGGAUCCAGCAACUUGCUUUAGAGACAUCUGAAGAGUCCAGUUAAAGAGCCAGUAACAUUUGCUUGAGGGGUCGUUUGGGAAUGAAUUCCACCAAAAAGACUUGAGGAGGUCGUGACCAGGACUGAAGACGCUACAGUGCAGGUUUAGAAACAGAUGUCUCGGGAUCGCCACAGUAUGUUCACGCUGAACUUUUAACCACGAGUUUAUGUACAACAAGGAGGUCAGAUUCGUUUUUAUGUAUGUUUUGCAUGUACUGUUACAGUCUAAAAGAAGGCAUGGGUGUAUUUGACCCCACCAUAAAGUGAGACGGUGAUGGUAAAAGCCAGAAUGACCAGGCCAACUCGGGGUCACGACCAGACGCCGAGUGCUCCUGUCUCGCUGUCGUCUAUGGUCAAGCACUUGCCGGCAGGCUGAAUUAAAUUAGACUGCUGUUAAUUGAGGAUUGACCAGUCUGAGAGCAGCUGACGCUUGGGUCAGUCAAGAUAGCAAAGCCUGAAUCCCUCAGGCCCCGAUUGCAAUUUCAGCCCUGCAGGUCCUGGAAUGGGACGGGAGGGAGAGAACGCGAGGGCAUGCUGGGAAUGCACGGCUGCUGAUUAGCAAUAAGAGUUUAUAGGAAGGCUUAGAUGAGAUUUGGCUUGUUUGCUUGAGUGGAAAGUGUAGCAGCACAACAGGCCCACACACACACGGAGCGAAGAGGGGAGGUCUGUUCAACAUUGAUGUCAAAGUAGACUCGGAGUAAAUCGGUUCGCACCUCGCUGAAAAUCUCCUCAAUCGCCCAGUCAACACAAUUAAUCGCUUCAUUAAUUAACAAAUAUACCACCCCGACUGACUUUUGGCAACCGUGGGCCGUACAGCUAACCUUCCCCAAUCUCUCCUUUCUAUUCCUAAUUUGUUUUAUUUCACUCCUCCUCCCUAAUUCUCUUUAUCUCUUUUUUCUGCGCUGCUUUUCUCUGAACAGCGUCGCAAAAGCUGACUCCGCUGCUUUAACACGAGCAGGUCAGCACGCUCCGCUAACAUUUGUUAUCUGUAAUCCUGCAGGUCCCCGCACAAAAUGAGCGUAGUAAACUCUCGCAAAGCCCUAAUCUCACCAUUUCUUUCAGAUGCGCUUUUUCUAGCUUUCUGUUCUUUUUUAUGUAUGGGGUGGGAAAGCGGUUUUCAGAGGAGCCGUCUCUGAUUGCAGGGCUUAUUUUUGUGGUAUUCAGAAUUACAACAAAAUCACAAUCAAAAUCACAACCUCCUUUAUGACAAUUAAGCAGCGGUGGAUUAAGUUAUGCCCUAAAUAUUUACUCCAGGAAAAGUAAUAAGUACUCCUUUUUAAUUUUACUUGAGUAAAAAUGAAUAUCAUUUUACAAACGUACUUGAAUUUUAAUGUACUUAAUUAAACAUGUAAAAGUACUAGGAUUUGAAGAAGCAUGUUUAUGUGUUUCGCAGUUUCGUAUACUUUGUAUACUUGUAUUUUGACAUGGAUGGAGCUUAAAUGGGUUAAAGAACAGUCUGACGUUAUUCAUUUUCAUGAAAACAUUAAGGAAGCUUAGUGAAGGCAUACAUUUAAUUUACACUGAUCUGCAAAAACAAAAAAAUGUUUUAUUACCAAAACCUGUCACACUAUUAAAACAUUUAACCACAAACUAAAAUGUCAAUUCAAGUUACUCAUAAUUCAUAACGUAUUGAACAAGAUUUGAACAAUUUAGUCACUUAUUAACAGGAGACUCAGUCUAAAUGAAUCUUUAUAUCACUGAGUUGUUGACUCGAGACCUGAUAAAGCAUUGUUCACAAAUCAGACAACGCCGUAACGUCUUAAAGCAAGCAGUGCGUUUUGAGUUUAAAGUUAUGAGGAACAAUAUGUCUUUAUGAAACGCAGUAGAGCAAAACAUAUGAUAUAGCUUUCCAAAUAAAUACUCUGAUCAAGUGCAGAUAUUCAAAAAAUGUACUUGGGUACAAUAACAAAGUAAAAUACUUCCAAUUAAAAAGCUGUGAUUUAUUUUUCACUUACAAAUAUUGAUGAAUCAAAUCACAAAGCCAAGAUUUUGUCAAUUUGCUUUAUAGAUUUGGUGUGUGGUUUGCAGCUUCAGUGAAAAUGUCUUCAAUGUGUUUUUGAUUCAUCUUACUAUCAUAGAGUGAUAUGUAAUAGAAUUACUGUUUUCUUUCUCCAUCGGUCUCAAUUAUCCCCGCGCUGGUUUGAUUGAGUUCGAUACUAUGCAAAUGAUGUAUUUGAAUUCUCCCAUGCAGCUCUGGUGCAUUUUGUCUUGGUCAUGCACACCCACACAUGUAGCGAGCGUGGUGGUGUGUGUCUGUUUGUUGUCAUUGUGCGUGUGUGUGUGUAGUAUGGUGAGUAAUAGCAGAGUUCAGUGGAAGACUGUAGUGUUGACAGCAUAGUAAACGAUGCAGCCUGCCUACUGCAGCAGUAUCCCUGCUAAUCACACACACCACAUGAUAAUCAGAGCAACCCCAUCCUCACACACACGACUACAGCGUGAAAACACACACAAACACCCUCACACACACACUGACCCAUACUUCUACAGACAAAUGGAAGACAUAAUGGUAGCCGGAGGCAGUGCGCAUACUUCACUCUAUCUCUCUCAAACCAAGCACAUCUCUACCCUUCACACACACACGUCUGGUUUAUUAUCUCCGUGGGGACAGUCCAUAGGCGUAAUUUUUUUUAUACUGUACAAACUGUAUAUUUUAUCCCCUACCCCUAACCCACCCCCUAAACCUAACAAUCACAAAAAAAAUUCCUGCUCUUUUAGAUUUUCAAAAAAGUUAAUUCUGUAUGAUUUAUGAGCUUGUUUCCUCAUGGGGACAAAAAAAUGUCCCCACAAGGACAAGGGUUUUGGAUAUUGCCAUCUUUGUGGGGACAUUUUGUCCCCAUACUGUAGGGUUUACGCUUCCCACACACACACACACACACACACACACACGCGCACACACGCACACACGCACACACACUUGAUUUUAUAAAAACAGCUCACUGUCUGAAGAGUUGACUGAUAUCACCUUCCCUCACUGAAAUUCAGUUUUCCCUUCAAAGUCUCAAAGUGUAUAAUCCACAUUUUACACACACAUGUACAAACGCAGCAUGUUAAAUGAGACUUAGUUAAAAAAAGAAGAGAUUAUGAAAGAAAGGAAAAAUGCAAACCCUCAAACUCAUUCUGGUGGUCCCAUGGUUUAAAGAUUGGGUGACAUCUCCUUUCUCAGUAGACCUGCUCCUUUAUAGGAGUGGGCCUUGCUCUUAUAAAAGAUUUAAGGAAUUGUUCACCUAAAAAUUAAGAUUCUGUCAUCAUUUACUCACUCACUGUGUUACUUUCAUCAUAAUAUAAAAAGAGGUAUUAGUGAAUCCACGGAUCUGGUCCCCAAUCACUUCAUUCAAUUUCAUUUUAUAAUCUUAAAGUGAUAGUUCACCCAGAAAUGAAAAUUCUGUCACCAUUUACUCACCCUUAUGUAAUUUCAAACCCGUUUGACUUUCAAGCUUUUUUGUAAAAUGUUGUUAACUGGCACCCAUUCACUUGGAUUUGUUUCGUGUCCAUACAAUAGAAGUGAAUGGGUGACGGCACUUUUCAGUUACCAGCUUUCUUCAAAAUAUCUUCUUUUGUGUUCUGCCGAAGAAAAAAGUCAUACAGGUUCAAAACGAUGACGAAAUUUUCAUUUUUGGGUGAACUAUCUCUUUAAAGCAUUCCACUAAAUUCUCCUUAAUGUUCAGUGCAGAGAAAAGGCCACACAGAUUUGAAAUAAUUUAUAACAUGAGGGUGAGUAAAUAGUUUUUACAAGCCAAUAAUUUCUUUUACUGUAUUUACCAGUUGUGGAUACAACAGUCCCUAUUUUUUUAUCCCAUCAGGAUAAACAGGAAAAAUGAGGAUAACAGUCACAGUUUGUGACACGACCCCAAGAUUGUAAAUUGGAAGAUGAAAGUUGGGAAGAACAUUUUUAAGGCCAUUUGUUUAGGGUCACGUGCAGAUUUCUUGUACAUUAUCUUUGAUUAACGCAGGUAUAAAUAAAGAAAUUGUUUCCAGGCAAACGUGCACUCUGAGGAAUGGUAAUGUGUAAAUGGGUUAGUUCAUUUUAAGAGAGGUGACACUUCACACACUCUCACAUUCACACUUCUUUGUAUCUUGCAGGGCGGCAUGUGUGCUUAGACAGCAGGAUGUAAAGAGAACAGGUGUGGCGCCCAUAGGUCCUUUUUUUACCAUAUGUACACAGGUAAGGCCAUGGGGCAUGAUGUCACACAAAGUGUCACAUCCAAACACCUUACACACUCUCUCUCUCUCUCUCUCUCUCUCUCUCUCUCUCUCUCUCUCUCUCUCUCUCUCUCUCGCACUCUCUGUGUCCUGCUCUCAAGUUCAAUUUAAGUGUGUUUUUUGUCAUGACCAAAAAAUUGUACAUUUGUAUUGCCAAAGCAUUUUCAGCUGUGCUGUAUACAAUUAGUCUACAUGUGUAUUCCAAAAAAUGUGGAAUACACUUAAACGUAUGCACUGCAGUUAAAUAAAUGAAAAAGCAAACUCUCUCUCUCUCUCUCAUAUGAAGCAUUUGCAUUAUUAUUAAUUUGUUCGAUUUUUUAAAUAUUGUCAUUAUUUGAUUUUUAAAUAUAUUUUUGUUAUUUUUUUAUGAAAAUGAUUUGUGUACCUCCUCAUACUUCAAUAAGAUUGAUUUCCAGCUUCAUGAUUUUAUGUAAUUCUGAUUAAAUAAAAUUUUUGAA